CCUACGGGAGGCAGCAGUGGGGAAUUUUGGACAAUGGGCGCAAGCCUGAUCCAGCCAUGCCGCGUGUGGGAAGAAGGCCUUCGGGUUGUAAACCACUUUUGUCAGGGAAGAAACGGCUUUUUCUAAUACAGAGAGCUAAUGACGGUACCUGAAGAAUAAGCACCGGCUAACUACGUGCCAGCAGCCGCGGUAAUACGUAGGGUGCAAGCGUUAAUCGGAAUUACUGGGCGUAAAGCGUGCGCAGGUGGCUUUGCAAAGACAGAUGUGAAAUCCCCGGGCUCAACCUGGGAACUGCAUUUGUGACUGCAUGGCUAGAGUACGGUAGAGGGGGAUGGAAUUCCGCGUGUAGCAGUGAAAUGCGUAGAUAUGCGGAGGAACACCGAUGGCGAAGGCAAUCCCCUGGACCUGUACUGACGCUCAUGCACGAAAGCGUGGGGAGCAAACAGGAUUAGAUACCCUGGUAGUCCACGCCCUAAACGAUGUCAACUGGUUGUUGGACGGCUUGCUGUUCAGUAACGAAGCUAACGCGUGAAGUUGACCGCCUGGGGAGUACGGCCGCAAGGUUGAAACUCAAANAGAGUAGAGCGNGAGAGNGCGACGGACGACGACGAGGGAGGAGG
Molecule: ribosomal RNA, 620 nt
Filed under: uncultured bacterium
Lineage: Bacteria
Description: bacterial SSU rRNA
Rfam family: Bacterial small subunit ribosomal RNA
Source: RNAcentral